Rhinopithecus bieti (black snub-nosed monkey) is the source of this 118-nucleotide ribosomal RNA. Lineage: Eukaryota; Metazoa; Chordata; Mammalia; Primates; Cercopithecidae. The record is from Ensembl.
CUUAUUGACCAUACCACCCUGAGUACACCUGAUCUCUUCUGACCUUGGAAGCUAAGCAGGGUUGGGCCUGGUUAGAACUUGGAUGAAAGAUCGCCUGGGAAUACCAAGUGCUGUAUUU